GGUCGAUUGGUCUAGUGGUAUGAUUCUCGCUUAGGGAGAUUGGAGCGCGAGUUCCCUUUCUCACAAACCUGAGUCCAAAAUGCGAGAGGUCCCGAGUUCGAUCCUUGGAUCGACCC
Xylona heveae TC161 is the source of this 116-nucleotide non-coding RNA. Lineage: Eukaryota; Fungi; Ascomycota; Xylonomycetes; Xylonales; Xylonaceae. The record is from the annotation of a RefSeq genome assembly.